Molecule: long non-coding RNA, 749 nt
Organism: Amphibalanus amphitrite
Lineage: Eukaryota; Metazoa; Arthropoda; Thecostraca; Balanomorpha; Balanidae
Exons: 2
Source: RefSeq, a predicted model, not a curated record
GUCGAUGGAGGACGGAGUAUCUCCCUCUGCUGCAAGAGCGGAGCGGACGCGCAACAAGAAGUCGAGACAACGUGAAGAAAGGAGACAUCGUCCUGAUGGUCGACGACUCUGUACCGCGUGGAGUGUGGCCGCUGGGCCGGGUCGAAGAGGCCAUCGUGAGCGCUGACGGCCGAGUGCGCUCUGUCCGAGUUCGCGCACGCGGUACAUCGUACUACAGACCGGUCACUAAGAUCGUCAAGAUCCUCGACGAGAGUAACCCAAGACGAGAGUGAAAGGAAAACGAAGGAACAAGACUGCCAGAGUUGAGAGUCAAGUUGUGACUCAAGAAGAGAUGCGUGUUACGAAGAAGUUUAUUUGUUUUGAUGCUCACUUGUAAGCAUCAAAAAGGGGAGGGUGUAAGUGCCUUUCCUGACGCCUUCCUACCUACCUGCUUCCUUUUCGCGAUCGGCGCGACAUCUGCAGAGUAGUGUCUUUGAUCGUCGCUAGAUGGCACUGCUGUUGUGUUCGCCAGCUGACCGAUAGUGGUGGGGUGGUGGUCAAAUUCGAAGUAGAUAUUCGAUGUGAGAACUAUUUGAGUUGUUUGAUCAGCUGUUUCGGUUUUUGGGACACGUAUGACGUGGAAGAAUGGCGGUCAGACCAGAUUUUGUUGCUCUGUUCCGAUGUGGCGAGUGAGGACACAAAUCUUGAUACCAUUCAUUCGGUCAUUCAUUGAUUUCACCUGGCAACAAUAAAUUGCUGGACUGACUGGA